AGUAAGGAAUAUUGGUCAAUGGGCGCAAGCCUGAACCAGCCAUGCCGCGUGCAGGAAGACGGCCCUAUGGGUUGUAAACUGCUUUUGUCAGGGAAUAAACCCCCGCUCGUGAGCGGGGCUGAAGGUACCUGAAGAAUAAGCAUCGGCUAACUCCGUGCCAGCAGCCGCGGUAAUACGGAGGAUGCAAGCGUUAUCCGGAUUCAUUGGGUUUAAAGGGUGCGCAGGCGGAUUGGUAAGUCAGGGGUGAAAUCCCACAGCUCAACUGUGGAACUGCCUUUGAUACUGUCAGUCUAGAGUAUAGUUGAAGUUGGCGGAAUGUGUCAUGUAGCGGUGAAAUGCUUAGAUAUGACACAGAACACCGAUCGCGAAGGCAGCUAGCUAAGCUAUAACUGACGCUCAUGCACGAAAGCGUGGGGAUCAAACAGGAUUAGAUACCCUGGUAGUCCACGCUGUAAACGAUGAUUACUCGAUGUUGGCGAUACACAGUCAGCGUCUGAGCGAAAGCAAUAAGUAAUCCACCUGGGGAGUACGAUCGCAAGAUUGAAACUCAAAGGAAUUGACGGGGGCCCGCACAAGCGGAGGAGCAUGUGGUUUAAUUCGAUGAUACGCGAGGAACCUUACCUGGGCUCGAACGUAAGAUGACUGUAGGUGAAAGCUUACAUCUCUUCGGAGCAUUUUACGAGGUGCUGCAUGGUUGUCGUCAGCUCGUGCCGUGAGGUGUCGGGUUAAGUCCCAUAACGAGCGCAACCCCUACCUUUAGUUGCCAUCAGGUCAUGCUGGGGACUCUAAAGGAACUGCCUACGCAAGUAGUGAGGAAGGCGGGGAUGACGUCAAAUCAGCACGGCCCUUACGUCCAGGGCUACACACGUGCUACAAUGGCCGAUACAGAGGGCAGCUACCUGGUGACAGGAUGCAAAUCUCCAAAGUCGGUCUCAGUUCGGAUCGGAGUCUGCAACCCGACUCCGUGAAGUUGGAUUCGCUAGUAAUCGCGCAUCAGCCAUGGCGCGGUGAAUACGUUCCCGGGCCUUGUACACACCGCCCGUCAAGCCAUGGAAGCUGGGGGGACCUAAAGUCGAUAACCGCAAGGAGUCGCCUAGGGUAAAACCAGUGACUGGGGCU
Molecule: ribosomal RNA, 1119 nt
Filed under: uncultured bacterium
Lineage: Bacteria
Description: bacterial SSU rRNA
Rfam family: Bacterial small subunit ribosomal RNA
Source: RNAcentral